UCAGGAUGAGCGCUAGCUACAGGCUUAACACAUGCAAGUCGAGGGGCAGCAUGGGAGUUGCUUGCAAUUCCUGAUGGCGACCGGCGCACGGGUGAGUAACGCGUAUCCAACCUUCCUGCCAGUAGGGAACAGCCCGGCGAAAGUCGGAUUAAUGCCCUAUGUUCUUCAAUGCGGACAUCUAAGUUGAAGGAAAGAUUCAUCGCUGGCAGAUGGGGAUGCGUCCGAUUAGCUUGCCGGCGGGUAACGGCCCACCGGGGCGACGAUCGGUAGGGGUUCUGAGAGGAAGGUCCCCCACACUGGUACUGAGACACGGACCAGACUCCUACGGGAGGCAGCAGUGAGGAAUAUUGGUCAAUGGGCGUAAGCCUGAACCAGCCAAGUAGCGUGCAGGAUGACGGCCCUACGGGUUGUAAACUGCUUUUAUGCGGGGAUAAAGUGCGGCACGUGUGCCGCUUUGCAGGUACCGCAUGAAUAAGGACCGGCUAAUUCCGUGCCAGCAGCUGC
RNAcentral lists this ribosomal RNA (504 nucleotides) under uncultured bacterium. Its description in RNAcentral is "bacterial SSU rRNA". It matches the Rfam family "Bacterial small subunit ribosomal RNA", at positions 24 to 518 of the family's 1533-position model. The record is from RNAcentral.